Boleophthalmus pectinirostris (great blue-spotted mudskipper) is the source of this 268-nucleotide long non-coding RNA. RefSeq lists it as uncharacterized. Lineage: Eukaryota; Metazoa; Chordata; Actinopteri; Gobiiformes; Gobiidae. The transcript is spliced from 3 exons. The record is from RefSeq and is a predicted model, not a curated record.
CGACUGGACAACGUGAAGCGACACCUCAAAGGAAAAUCCACUAGGAAAUUUUAUUUUUGGUCAAAUUAAGAAUUUGCAGCGCUGCUCCUCAGUGUGGUGUUUGCGUCGCCGCCCCCUGCUGGUCCAACAUGUUCCUGCUGCUCCUGACGGCCGCCGCCCUGUCGCACCUGACGAGUCACAUGACAGAGGCGAUUAUGGCUCCGACCACUUUGAUGUUGGGCUGUUCCACGAAGGUUUAUGGACGAUAUUACGAGAAGAUUUAUGUGAG